Molecule: ribosomal RNA, 513 nt
Filed under: uncultured bacterium
Lineage: Bacteria
Description: partial 16S ribosomal RNA
Rfam family: Bacterial small subunit ribosomal RNA
Source: RNAcentral
GACGAAUGCUGGCGGCGUGCCUAAUACAUGCAAGUUGAGCGAUGAAGAUUGGUGCUUGCACCAAUUUGAAGAGCAGCGAACGGGUGAGUAACGCGUGGGGAAUCUGCCUUUGAGCGGGGGACAACAUUUGGAAACGAAUGCUAAUACCGCAAAACAACUUUAAACAUAAGUUUUAAGUUUGAAAGAUGCAAUUGCAUCACUCAAAGAUGAUCCCGCGUUGUAUUAGCUAGUUGGUGAGGUAAAGGCUCACCAAGGCGAUGAUACAUAGCCGACCUGGGAGGGUGAUCGGCCACAUUGGGACUGAGACACGGCCCAAACUCCUACGUGAGGCAGCAGUAGGGAAUCUUCGGCAAUGGACGAAAGUCUGACCGAGCAACGCCGCGUGAGUGAAGAAGGUUUUCGGAUCGUAAAACUCUGUUGGUAGAGAAGAACGUUGGUGAGAGUGGAAAGCUCAUCAAGUGACGGUAACUACCCAGAAAGGGACGGCUAACUACGUGCCAGCCGCCGCGGUAA